UUGUAUCACUUGAUUACUAUAUAAUUCAAUUCAUUUCAAUUAAUUCAUUUCAGUUUAAUCAAUUUAAUCUAUACAAUUCGAUUUAUUCAAGUAUCUUUCAAGUUCCAUUCGUUCAUACCAAAUAUUAAAUUCCAUUAUACAAAUCACAAGAAAAUCCAUAACAUACAAAAAUUACAAGUUUGACCAUUGUUUACACUAGUUGACUUUUGGUCAAGAGUUAAAUUUUUGGUCAACCAGUUGACCAAAGUCAACUGACCCCCUUGACCAUCC
RNAcentral lists this long non-coding RNA (270 nucleotides) under Lathyrus oleraceus (garden pea). RNAcentral describes it as "Pisum sativum (pea) long non-coding RNA (PSAT_LNC013150)". The record is from RNAcentral. Lineage: Eukaryota; Viridiplantae; Streptophyta; Magnoliopsida; Fabales; Fabaceae.